This is a long non-coding RNA of Oncorhynchus tshawytscha (Chinook salmon), 373 nucleotides long. The record is from Ensembl. NCBI's taxonomy places the organism in Eukaryota, Metazoa, Chordata, Actinopteri, Salmoniformes, Salmonidae.
GGUUAUUCACAGGCAAAUUGUUAUAUGCUAUGGAGGUACAUUUGUGUCUUUUUGUUUUUAUUUUCAAUCAAAAAGAAUUGUUCUGAAAUUGUUCCCGACACAUAGGAAGUCAAAGCGGACACCUAUGAAGAUGGCAUCUCAGAGAGCGAGAUGAUCAAGGGGUCGAAAAUGUAGAUAUUGCCAGAUGUUCACUAUCUGAGGAACAGGCCGUGGAAGCUGUAUUGCUGGCAAAAGUGUCCAUAAGCAGAGGUUAUAUCAGCUGUUUUGGUGAACCACUCCCGCAUCUGAACUGCCUGACACAGAGGGCACAGCAUGAUCAUAGGUAUGUUUUGAUGUGAGAGAGGAAGCCAGUCCCGUCAUCGCCACACCACCC